AACGAACGCUGGCGGCAUGCCUAACACAUGCAAGUCGAACGAGACCUUCGGGUCUAGUGGCGCACGGGUGCGUAACGCGUGGGAACCUGCCCUUAGGUUCGGAAUAACUCCCCGAAAGGGGUGCUAAUACCGGAUAAUGUCUUCGGACCAAAGAUUCAUCGCCUUUGGAUGGGCCCGCGUUGGAUUAGCUAGUUGGUAGGGUAAAAGCCUACCAAGGCGACGAUCCAUAGCUGGUCUGAGAGGAUGAUCAGCCACACUGGGACUGAGACACGGCCCAGACUCCUACGGGAGGCAGCAGUGGGGAAUAUUGGACAAUGGGCGAAAGCCUGAUCCAGCAAUGCCGCGUGAGUGAUGAAGGCCUUAGGGUUGUAAAGCUCUUUUACCCGGGAUGAUAAUGACAGUACCGGGAGAAUAAGCGCCGGCUAACUCCGUG
This 433-nucleotide ribosomal RNA is filed under the name uncultured bacterium. RNAcentral describes it as "partial 16S ribosomal RNA". It matches the Rfam family "Bacterial small subunit ribosomal RNA", at positions 29 to 507 of the family's 1533-position model. The record is from RNAcentral.